AAGUCGUAACAAGGUUUCCGUAGGUGAACCUGCGGAAGGAUCAUUAACACGUAUCCAACACUUUCUUAGAAAAGGUAGCAAUCCCUGGUAAAUCAUUGCCGAACAGUUUUGAUUCAGGGACUUCUGCGUAGACUGUGCUUGAGCGUGAGGCAAGUGGCCUGGCAUUCCUCUGCUUGUUGGUGUCUGAAAGUGUCACCAGCUCUGUACGAAUGGCGCAGUCACGAUCGCUAGAGGCCGACACGGCCGGCGACCGGGUCACUGGGCGCGAGCCCCCCUCGUCACCUUUGCAUGAAAACGGGCCUGCGCUUAAUUGUGCGGCCACCAAACUCGAACAACUGUUAACAAUGGAUAUCUUGGUUCUC
RNAcentral lists this unclassified non-coding RNA (362 nucleotides) under fungal sp. Its description in RNAcentral is "partial internal transcribed spacer region". The stretch from base 1 to 46 matches the Rfam family "Eukaryotic small subunit ribosomal RNA", at positions 1786 to 1831 of the family's 1831-position model. The record is from RNAcentral. Lineage: Eukaryota; Fungi.